Molecule: ribosomal RNA, 273 nt
Filed under: uncultured Marinomonas sp.
Lineage: Bacteria; Pseudomonadati; Pseudomonadota; Gammaproteobacteria; Oceanospirillales; Oceanospirillaceae
Description: partial 16S ribosomal RNA
Rfam family: Bacterial small subunit ribosomal RNA
Source: RNAcentral
UACAGAGGGUGCAAGCGUUAAUCGGAAUUACUGGGCGUAAAGCGCGCGUAGGUGGUUUGUUAAGUCGGAUGUGAAAGCCCAGGGCUCAACCUUGGAAUGGCACCCGAAACUGGUAGGCUAGAGUACGGUAGAGGGGUGUGGAAUUUCCUGUGUAGCGGUGAAAUGCGUAGAUAUAGGAAGGAACAUCAGUGGCGAAGGCGACCACCUGGACUAAUACUGACACUGAGGUGCGAAAGCGUGGGGAGCAAGCAGGAUUAGAUACCCCAGUAGUCC